CCUACGGGAGGCAGCAGUGGGGAAUAUUGCACAAUGGGGGAAACCCUGAUGCAGCGACGCCGCGUGAGCGAUGAAGUAUCUCUGUAUGUAAAGCUCCAUCAGCAGGGAAGAAAAUGACGGUACCUGACUAAGAAGCCCCGGCUAACUACGUGCCAGCAGCAGUGGCACUACGUAGGCGGCAAGCGUUAUCCGGAGUUACUGGGUGUAAAGGGAGCGUAGGCGGUCCUGCAAGUCAGAGGUGAAAGCCCGGGGCUCAAACCCGGGACUGCAUUUGGAACUGUAAGGCUAGAGUGUCGGAGAGGCAGGCGGAAUGCCUGGUGUAGCGGUGAAAUGCGUAGAUAUUAGGAAGAACACCGGUGGCGAAGGCAGCCUGCUGGACGAUGACUGACGUUGAGGCUCGAAAGCGUGGGGAGCAAACAGGAUUAGAUACCCGGGUAGUC
This 440-nucleotide ribosomal RNA is filed under the name uncultured bacterium. RNAcentral describes it as "partial 16S ribosomal RNA". It matches the Rfam family "Bacterial small subunit ribosomal RNA", at positions 338 to 795 of the family's 1533-position model. The record is from RNAcentral.